This 171-nucleotide ribosomal RNA is filed under the name uncultured bacterium. Its description in RNAcentral is "partial 16S ribosomal RNA". It matches the Rfam family "Bacterial small subunit ribosomal RNA", at positions 334 to 522 of the family's 1533-position model. The record is from RNAcentral.
UACUCCUACGGGAGGCAGCAGUGGGGAAUAUUGCACAAUGGAGGAAACUCUGAUGCAGCGACGCCGCGUGAAUGAUGAAGGCCUUCGGGUCGUAAAAUUCUGUCCUUGGGGAAGAUAAUGACGGUACCCAAGGAGGAAGCCCCGGCUAACUACGUGCCAGCAGCCGCGGUA